CAGCCCUAGUUGGGAGCACGGCUCAGCAGAAUUAGUCAGGAGGCAUUGCAGACGUGAUGCAUACCGUUGUACUUUUCGCAGUUUUACGCAUCGCUACUGGAAAUGAAAGGGUCUUCUAGGACCAUGUAUGUGCCACUGUGAUACAAGAACAUCUGAAAGUAUGCUUCGUAUGUCUUUGUGUGUAUGUCACAAACGACUGCAAUUUUCAGUCUCGCCCGCGCACCCCAUCGUCUAAGGAAAGGCUGCUUUUGUGUUGGGAAGACUGACAUUCGGCGACUGGCGACGCAGCAGCGGCGGCGCUGAGUUUUCCCUACACUUGUACCGAAAGGAGAGACAUGUGUUCGAGGAAAAAGAAAUUACCUUGAGAGGGGACGAUACGUCCCGAAAGAGUUUUGACUGCUUUGAAAUCGGCAUUCGGCAGUUGACGUGCAACCAGCAAGAAGCGCGGUCAGUCGGUGUCGGGAGGCUCGCUGUAGGCGGCGAAGUAUGGAGUGACCCGCGCAACGUAUUGAGAUGGCUGCAAUUCCGGGCACCCUCGCUGUCUACUAAGCCGUCGAAAUCUUCAGCGGCACCCGUCAACUCCCCUACGUGUACCGAGAGCUGGCCUGGUCCCUACGAAACUUUGUAUUGUGUUUUUUUUUUCAGCUGUUAUUUUAUUAUAACCAACUUUUCAAUAAUUGUAGUUGUGUGCGCUGCGUCGCACGUAGCAAUUCAGAAGUGCAAGCAUGAUCUUCUGCUCCGCAAUGAUUUCCUUGUAUCUCUCUUUGAUUUCCAUUGUGCUGUAAUUUAAUAACAUUCCUCGUUGUUUUUUUCUUGUACCUGUCGUAGUGUUUUUCUAGAGAAUAGUUUGCUUUGUUGUUUUUUUCAUGGUGUGUUAGUGUUUUUGCUCUGUUAUUUUCCUGCAAUCUCCUUGCCAUUGCCCUUGUUUUAAUUAAAUGCUUGUUUGUGUUUAAGCAAACGUCCGUGUCUGCACUAUGAGUACGUCGGUCAAGCUUGUACAUCACCACACGUGCAACCCCACACGGGUCGACCGACCUGCAAAUAAAUUUGAGAUGUGCCACUUCAUGGCCUUUCAGGCGUCGCAGGCCGAAGUGCGAGGUGGAAGCCUGCGAGUCUCCCGCACGUCGAUGUUGGAUCGGCGGGGCUCACCCGAAGUGUGACAGAGUACAUUUGCCAAUAUUAUGCUUCUCUCAACGAUAAGAGUGCAUAAGAGUCCUUGUGACAUCGAUGUGUUGACGUCUUGCGCCGAGUGUCAAACUGAUCUGGUGUUUUAGUUUCCGGGUAACUUGUGAGCAGUGCAGACUAUAGCAUAAUAUUUAAGUCAGUGUUACCAUUAUUUUUAAUUUGCCUAAGUAGUGCUCAUAAGUAAUGCUCAUUGCACUUAAAUGUGGGAUGAAGGUAAACAGUUGAAUGCAUCACCUUUAGCUGUAUAGGAUUCAGUCAACACAUCAUGAAUAAAGCUUUGCUCUGCAUAGAUGCCAAUAUGUACACUGCAUCUUUGUAAUUUUUCUUGACAUAAGUGUGCCACGAUCUUUACGCUUUGAUAGCAUUCAUUUGUUUGUUUCCCAGUAAGGUUCACUCACACAGUAUUCAGAGCAUAAUAAGAUGCAUAAUGCAUAUUAUUUUGUCCUUAUUCCACGUCUUUUUUUUUUAGCGUUUGCAUCUUGUGUUUUGCAACUCAGCCUUCAGCUGAAGUCAUCAUGUGUCAGUUUUUAAAUCAUUUGGGAGUUGCUCUUCUGAAAUAGGAAAUUGCAAGGUGAUGCUUUUAAUGACUAGACACUUUCUUUGUUUAUACACUAUUAUCACAAUGAUUUUUAUAUUUCUGUGUACUGCACAUUGCACACUAAACAAUGCAAGUAAUGCUACCUUGUACAUUUCUCCAGGCACUUUAGAGAGAAUAACAGGACAUUGUUUAGACUGCAUUUGUUAAUGUGCACAGAAUUUAGAGCACAGAUUUGAAGAACAGCGCUUUGGAGGGCUUAAGUAAAUGUUAGCUUCAUACAAAGGACAAACAUUAGUUGCAGGAUGGGCUUCAUGAUAGCAGCAGCCUCAUAAUAAUUGUAGUAGCUCGUCAAUAUAUUUAGAACAUGCAUUGUCACUUUGCUCCUUGCGAUGCAACCUCAGUGCAUAUAUUUUCUCGAAAGCUUGGUCGAGGCAGUGGUACUGAUCUUUGUAUCUGUCGUGCUCAAUGUUUCCCGCUUUUUUCUUUGGGCCAGUUACACCGUGGCCACCGUGCCAGUAUUGAAGCCAUAAACGUGUUUAUCUUUGCACACGCAUACAGUUACAUCAGAUGUAAUUUUUAACUUCACAUUAAAGUGUUUAAUAAUAAAAUUGUUGAAUGGAA
Molecule: long non-coding RNA, 2344 nt
Organism: Rhipicephalus microplus (southern cattle tick)
Lineage: Eukaryota; Metazoa; Arthropoda; Arachnida; Ixodida; Ixodidae
Source: RefSeq, a predicted model, not a curated record